Molecule: ribosomal RNA, 477 nt
Filed under: uncultured Cloacibacterium sp.
Lineage: Bacteria; Pseudomonadati; Bacteroidota; Flavobacteriia; Flavobacteriales; Weeksellaceae
Description: bacterial SSU rRNA
Rfam family: Bacterial small subunit ribosomal RNA
Source: RNAcentral
GAUGAACGCUAGCGGGAGGCCUAACACAUGCAAGCCGAGCGGUAUUGUUUCUUCGGAAAUGAGAGAGCGGCGUACGGGUGCGGAACACGUGUGCAACCUGCCUUUAUCUGGGGGAUAGCCUUUCGAAAGGAAGAUUAAUACUCCAUAAUAUAUUGAACGGCAUCGUUUAAUAUUGAAAGCUCCGGCGGAUAGAGAUGGGCACGCGCAAGAUUAGCUAGUUGGUGAGGUAACGGCUCACCAAGGCGAUGAUCUUUAGGGGGCCUGAGAGGGUGAUCCCCCACACUGGUACUGAGACACGGACCAGACUCCUACGGGAGGCAGCAGUGAGGAAUAUUGGUCAAUGGGUGCAAGCCUGAACCAGCCAUCCCGCGUGAAGGACGACUGCCCUAUGGGUUGUAAACUUCUUUUGUAUAGGGAUAAACCUACCCUCGUGAGGGUAGCUGAAGGUACUAUACGAAUAAGCACCGGCUAACUCCG